Non-coding RNA from Lupinus albus (white lupine), 330 nucleotides. The record is from the annotation of a GenBank genome assembly. Lineage: Eukaryota; Viridiplantae; Streptophyta; Magnoliopsida; Fabales; Fabaceae.
GUUGAGGGGAAUGUUGGCUGGCUCGAGGCUUUUCACAAAUAUAUGUUCACAGUUUUGAAGAACUAUAAAGCUUCGGACCAGGCUUCAUUCCCCUCAAAACUUGUUUGCUUUGGAUAUUGAAAGUGAAGUUCAUGUUUCUGUUCUGUAUAUAUGUAUGUAUGGUUGCAUAUUCUAGCCUUGCAAAGGUUUAGUUGAGAGGAAUGUUGUCUGGCUCGAGGGUUAUGUAAGAGUUGUUAGUCUGUUACUAAUCUCAAUUCUUUCAAUGAAAGUUUCUAUGGUUAGUACAUCUAACUCAAAAUUAGUCUCGGACCAGGCUUCAUUCCCCCCAGC